Molecule: long non-coding RNA, 951 nt
Organism: Daucus carota subsp. sativus
Lineage: Eukaryota; Viridiplantae; Streptophyta; Magnoliopsida; Apiales; Apiaceae
Exons: 6
Source: RefSeq, a predicted model, not a curated record
CACCAAAAUUUCUCUCCCUUAGUCUCCCCCUUUUCCCAGACUCGCUUUCUUCAUCUUUUUCCCAAAAAAAUAUAUCUAUCUCCCUCCCUCCCUCUCAAAAUCGCUCAUUAAAGUCGGGUUCAAUCUGAAGCUUCAAAUGUACAGGUUCAAUCUCGAUUAGGGUUCUAAACUUCAGUUGGAUCUCGAUUGGGCUUCGAUUAGGGUUCAAUUUGAAGCUUCGAAUUUACAGGUAUCUCUCUCCCUCACUUACUCUAUAUAUAUUUGUGUAUGUAUAUGUUUUUAAACUAGUUCCAUUUUGAUUUGGUUGUAAUGAGGCCAAGAGCGGAGUGAGCGGAGUAGGAGUAGCCUCGAUGGGGUGAUGAGGCCAGAUCUGGGAUUAUGGUGUGGAAUUUGUGCUUCUUAUUACACUGGAUGGCACUACGGAAGAUGCUCUGAGGAUAUUCACCAUGUUAUCUUUUGUCGAUUCCCUCUUUUCACAUACCUUCAAGUGUGUAAUCACUCUGGAAAUCCUGCUUUCGUGUACCUUGCUUGCUGUCACAGGCUGAAAAUUAAUGUUGCCUACUUCAGCCUCGGAGGUUCUGUUGAUAGAAUCUUUUGAUGGUUGGACCACUCAGGGUACAACGAUAUUAAGUCACUACAGGAGAGCUCUGGUGCAUCCAUUCGGGUUCUUUCAAAUGAGAGGGGGAUUUCUCCAAGGACAGUAAAAGACUUGAAGGUAAAUAGUGGUGGCAGAAUUUUAGAGAACAUUUGAUGGCUGUACUUCUCAAGGUAGAGGAGAUCAAGAAUGGAAGACUUGCAGCAAUGUUUGUGAUGCUCGGAUUAUUUAUGUUUUGUUAAGUGUUGGCAUUUAGUAGUAGGGAUGUAUAUUUUGGAUGUUGAUAUUGGAAUAUAAGGAAAUCUCUAUAUUCAAACCGUACCUUUCAAUUUGAUAAUUUAAAAAUUAUUGAUGUA